GGUUAAGUGACUAAGCGUACAGGGCGGAUGCCUUGGCAAUCAGAGGCGAAGAAGGACGUGCUAAUCUGCGAAAAGCUUGGAUGAGUCGAUAAGAGGCGUUUAAUCCAAGAUGUCCGAAUGGGGAAACCCGAUGGAUGAAGAAUCCAUCAUUUCAUUGUGAAUACAUAGCAAUGAAAGGCGAACCGGGAGAACUGAAACAUCUAAGUACCCCGAGGAAAAGAAAUCAACCGAGAUUCUGUGAGUAGCGGCGAGCGAAAGCGGAAGAGCCAGUAAGUUUUAGCUAGUGUAUUAGAGGAAUUGGCUGGGAAGCCAAAUCAAAGAGGGUGAUAAUCCCGUACUCGAAAAUACGAUAGUGGAACUAAGCUUACGAUAAGUAGGGCGGGACACGAGAAAUCCUGUUUGAAGAUGGGGGGACCAUCCUCCAAGGCUAAAUACUCCUGAUUGACCGAUAGUGAACCAGUACUGUGAAGGAAAGGCGAAAAGAACCCCGGUGAGGGGAGUGAAAUAGAACCUGAAACCCUGUACGUACAAGCAGUAGGAGCGAGGGCAACCUUGUGACUGCGUACCUUUUGUAUAAUGGGUCAGCGACUUAUAUUUUGUAGCGAGGUUAACUGAAUAAGGGAGCCGAAGGGAAACCGAGUCUUAACUGGGCGUUGAGUUGCAAGGUAUAGACCCGAAACCCGGUGAUCUAGCCAUGGGCAGGUUGAAGGUUGGGUAACACUAACUGGAGGACCGAACCGACUAAUGUUGAAAAAUUAGCGGAUGACUUGUGGCUGGGGGUGAAAGGCCAAUCAAACCGGGAGAUAGCUGGUUCUCCCCGAAAUCUAUUUAGGUAGAGCCUUGAGCGGACACCUUCGGGGGUAGAGCACUGUUUCGGCUAGGGGUCCAUCCCGGAUUACCAACCCGAUGCAAACUGCGAAUACCGAAGAGUGAUACUCAGGAGACACACGGCGGGUGCUAACGUUCGUCGUGGAGAGGGAAACAACCCAGACCGCCAGCUAAGGUCCCAAAGUCUAUAUUAAGUGGGAAACGAAGUGGGAAGGCUUAGACAGCUAGGAUGUUGGCUUAGAAGCAGCCAUCAUUUAAAGAAAGCGUAAUAGCUCACUAGUCGAGUCGGCCUGCGCGGAAGAUGUAACGGGGCUCAAAUAUAGCACCGAAGCUGCGGCAUCAGAAUUUAUUCUGUUGGGUAGGGGAGCGUUGUGUAAGCGGAAGAAGGUGGCUCGAGAGGGUUGCUGGACGUAUCACAAGUGCGAAUGCUGACAUAAGUAACGAUAAAACGAGUGAAAAACUCGUUCGCCGGAAGACCAAGGGUUCCUGUCCAACGUUAAUCGGGGCAGGGUGAGUCGGCCCCUAAGGCGAGGCUGAAAAGCGUAGUCGAUGGGAAACGGGUUAAUAUUCCCGUACUUGGUAAAGCUGCGAUGUGGGGACGGAGAAGGUUAGGUAAGCGGACUGUUGGAAAUGUCCGUUUAAGUUGGUAGUUGGGAGCGGUAGGCAAAUCCGCUGCUCCAUUCAACAACGAGAGAUGAUGACGAGUUCCUAAGGGAAUGAAGUUACCGAUACCCGGCUUCCAGGAAAAGCCACUAAGCGAAAGGCUUUAUUAAACCGUACUGAAAACCGACACAGGUGGUCAGGUAGAGAAUACUCAGGCGCUUGAGAGAACUCGGGUGAAGGAACUAGGCAAAAUAGCACCGUAACUUCGGGAGAAGGUGCGCUUACAGUAAUUGUAGUCCCUCGCGGAUGAAGGUGAAGUAAGUCGAAGAUACCAGCUGGCUGCAACUGUUUAUUAAAAACACAGCACUCUGCAAACACGAAAGUGGACGUAUAGGGUGUGAUGCCUGCCCGGUGCUGGAAGGUUAAUUGAUGGUGUUAUCGAAAGAGAAGCUCCUGAUCGAAGCCCCAGUAAACGGCGGCCGUAACUAUAACGGUCCUAAGGUAGCGAAAUUCCUUGUCGGGUAAGUUCCGACCUGCACGAAUGGCAUAAUGAUGGCCAGGCUGUCUCCACCCGAGACUCAGUGAAAUUGAAAUCGCCGUGAAGAUGCGGUGUACCCGCGGCUAGACGGAAAGACCCCGUGAACCUUUACUAUAGCUUGACACUGAACAUUGAAUUUUGAUGUGUAGGAUAGGUGGGAGCCUUUGAAGCAGUGACGCCAGUCAUUGUGGAGGCGACCUUGAAAUACCACCCUUUAACGUUUGAUGUUCUAACGAAGUGCCUGAAACGGGUACUCGGACAGUGUCUGGUGGGUAGUUUGACUGGGGCGGUCUCCUCCCAAAGCGUAACGGAGGAGCACGAAGGUUUGCUAAUGACGGUCGGACAUCGUCAGGUUAGUGCAAUGGUAUAAGCAAGCUUAACUGCGAGACGGACAAGUCGAGCAGGUGCGAAAGCAGGUCAUAGUGAUCCGGUGGUUCUGAAUGGAAGGGCCAUCGCUCAACGGAUAAAAGGUACUCCGGGGAUAACAGGCUGAUACCGCCCAAGAGUUCAUAUCGACGGCGGUGUUUGGCACCUCGAUGUCGGCUCAUCACAUCCUGGGGCUGAAGUAGGUCCCAAGGGUAUGGCUGUUCGCCAUUUAAAGUGGUACGCGAGCUGGGUUUAGAACGUCGUGAGACAGUUCGGUCCCUAUCUGCCGUGGGCGUUGGAUGAUUGAUUGGGGCUGCUCCUAGUACGAGAGGACCGGAGUGGACGCAUCACUGGUGUUCCAGUUGUCUCGCCAGAGGCAUUGCUGGGUAGCUAAAUGCGGAAGAGAUAAGUGCUGAAAGCAUCUAAGCACGAAACUUGCCAAGAGAUGAGUCAUCCCUGACUUUAAGUCAGUAAGGGUUGUUUAAGACUAAGACGUAGAUAGGUUGGGUGUGUAAGUGUAGUGAUACAUUGAGCUAACCAAUACUAAUUGCCCGAGAGGCUUAACCAU
RNAcentral lists this ribosomal RNA (2903 nucleotides) under Pasteurella multocida. RNAcentral describes it as "23S ribosomal RNA". It matches the Rfam family "Bacterial large subunit ribosomal RNA". The record is from RNAcentral. Lineage: Bacteria; Pseudomonadati; Pseudomonadota; Gammaproteobacteria; Pasteurellales; Pasteurellaceae.